ACCUGGGAUAGCUCAGCCGGUAGAGCAUGGGGUGCUUAAUCUCAGGGUCCUGGGUUCAAGCCCCACAUUGGGCA
Non-coding RNA from Podarcis lilfordi (Lilford's wall lizard), 74 nucleotides. The record is from the annotation of a GenBank genome assembly. NCBI's taxonomy places the organism in Eukaryota, Metazoa, Chordata, Lepidosauria, Squamata, Lacertidae.